UCGGGAAUUUUGGGCAAUGGGCGAAAGCCUGAUCCAGCCAUGCCGCGUGAGUGAUGAAGGCCUUAGGGUUGUAAAGCUCUUUUACCAGGGAUGAUAAUGACAGUACCUGGAGAAUAAGCUCCGGCUAACUCCGUGCCAGCAGCCGCGGUAAUACGGAGGGAGCUAGCGUUGUUCGGAAUUACUGGGCGUAAAGCGUACGUAGGCGGUGACUCAAGUCAGAGGUGAAAGCCUGGAGCUCAACCCCAGAACUGCCUUUGAAACUAGGUCGCUAGAAUCACGGAGAGGUGAGUGGAAUUCCGAGUGUAGAGGUGAAAUUCGUAGAUAUUCGGAAGAACACCAGUGGCGAAGGCGGCUCACUGGACGUGUAUUGACGCUGAGGUACGAAAGCGUGGGGAGCAAACAGGAUUAGAUACCCAAGUAGUCCCUGAGCGGGCUGGCAAGGCGCAU
Molecule: ribosomal RNA, 447 nt
Filed under: uncultured bacterium
Lineage: Bacteria
Description: bacterial SSU rRNA
Rfam family: Bacterial small subunit ribosomal RNA
Source: RNAcentral